CCUACGGGGUGCAGCAGUGGGGAAUUUUGGACAAUGGGGGAAACCCUGAUCCAGCCAUCCCGCGUGUGCGAUGAAGGCCUUCGGGUUGUAAAGCACUUUUGGCAGGAAAGAAACGUCAUGGGCUAAUACCCCGUGAAACUGACGGUACCUGCAGAAUAAGCACCGGCUAACUACGUGCCAGCAGCCGCGGUAAUACGUAGGGUGCAAGCGUUAAUCGGAAUUACUGGGCGUAAAGCGUGCGCAGGCGGUUCGGAAAGAAAGAUGUGAAAUCCCAGAGCUUAACUUUGGAACUGCAUUUUUAACUACCGAGCUAGAGUGUGUCAGAGGGAGGUGGAAUUCCGCGUGUAGCAGUGAAAUGCGUAGAGAUCUGGAGGAAUACCGGUGGCGAAGGCGGCCCCCUGGACGAAGACUGACGCUCAGGUGCGAAAGCGUGGGGAGCAAACAGGAUUAGAUACCCCGGUAGUC
This 465-nucleotide ribosomal RNA is filed under the name uncultured bacterium. RNAcentral describes it as "bacterial SSU rRNA". It matches the Rfam family "Bacterial small subunit ribosomal RNA", at positions 338 to 795 of the family's 1533-position model. The record is from RNAcentral.